GGGAUUUUUUUUAUUUUUUUGGGUUUUUGAUUUUUGAUUUUUAUAUUUUUCUGAUUCAUUUUAAGUUUUUUUUAUUUUUAUAUAUUUAUAAUUUUUUUUGUGGUCACAGCUUUAAAGGCUAACGUCUACGAACACUCUAACAUGAUGAAGAGUCUGAUUAUGAUGCUCUUUUUCGGGUUAAUUACUCACUUGCCCAACAUAGUAACCUUCCUGACCCACAAAUUAUUUAAAGAAUUAAUUACAUAUUAACACCUCCAAACGUUACAAAAUGAAAAGUAGAUACCCUAGAAGGUGAUUUUAAACUAUUAGUACUUAACUAUGUUAUUUUGUGCAAACCACACGGACUAACUGUGUAAUUAACUCUUACUUUAAAUAGAUAUCUUAAAAGCCAUCCUGAUUUAUCCUUAAUUUUUUUCAAACCCAUCUGACCCAUUCUCAUUUUUAAAAUAAACCAAAAUAACUCACAUAGAUUUUUAUUAUCAGGCUUAAGCUACAUCCCACAAAUAAUUAACAUAUGCUUGUCAGUUUUUUCUCUUGUUGAUUGCAAUAUGUACAUUAAAACACACCUACUGAAGAUGAUGAAGCUGACUGAUGUGAUGUGAUGCGAAUGAAUCAAAUCAAGCUUCAACUUGUUCAAUUCAGUUUUCAAUCUGGUUAAUUGUAUUUCUGUCUCAUACAGUUUCUAUGUAUGUGUUCAACUUUGUUAUAUUUGAAUGGAUUUUUUCUUUUUGUUUGCUUUAAUAUUAUGACCACCGCUUUUGAUUUGUUAUUAUAGAUCCUUUGAGCUUUUGACUUUUACUUCAGAAAUAUUAUGAUCUUUUUGAUUACGUGACUGAAAAUAUAACUAACGUUUAAAAUGGACGAUUAUCCAUCCCACGGACUAAAAUUACGACGAUCUUGUUGUAGAUAGUAUAUGGAUGAUAUCCGUAAUUUUUAAACCUAAGAACGAAAUGUAAUUAGACUCAAAGAUAUUAAAUUACAAUAAUAUCUAAAAGACCAAAGUGUAAGUAAAACAUUUUCUUAUGUACAAAGAUCACAACUUAGGGAUAGAGAUAAAGCGCGCCUAUAUCACACCCUUCUUAGACUCUACUAAUAGUUUUUCUAUUUGUAGGAUUUAGUUGGUACGAUUAAUUGAUUGAUUGACAAAGAUCACAACUUACUAAAAGGGGAUCAUACAGAAGAAAUAACAUCUUCUGAAAACUUGUUCCAAACAAUCAUCACCUAAUGAAACCCUCCAAAACCGCCAUGGAUCUCCUUCUGGCCGACCGCGACUUUACCGUCUCUUUUACCCCUAUGAGAGUGUCGUUUCUUGAGCACCACCACCGGGGAACACCCUUCUUCAAAACCAUACUUCAUCUUCUUCAAUGACUCCUUCACUCUCUCAACCGGAAAAUUCAACACCGCCAACGACCCUCUCAUUGUAAACGCGGCUUCAUCGUACGCCAUAGCGGCCGCCUCUGCGCUAUCAAACGUCCCAAGCCAUACACGGACACCGUGCCUUGUGGAAUCCCUUAUCUCCGCAGCAAACUUCCCCCACGGCCGUCUCCUAACGCCUCGGUAUGACUUGUUGGUGCUGGUUUUUAACUUAUUAACUGGUUCGACGUCCUUGACUUGUUGAUCCAGAUCUACCAUUGAUGCAACUACAAGCAUGUCAAACAGUAGCAUAUCUUGGGAGUCGUUGAGAUCAAAAGGGAGUGACUCUUGCCGGAAUAUACGAUCAUCCGGGGAGUAAUUGGAGCUGUGGUGAUGGGUGCAAGAAGCAUCCAUGAAUAAUUAUUGUUAUUGU
This 1786-nucleotide long non-coding RNA is filed under the name Helianthus annuus (common sunflower). Its description in RNAcentral is "hypothetical non coding rna". Lineage: Eukaryota; Viridiplantae; Streptophyta; Magnoliopsida; Asterales; Asteraceae. The record is from RNAcentral.